This is a non-coding RNA of Schistosoma mattheei, 45 nucleotides long. Lineage: Eukaryota; Metazoa; Platyhelminthes; Trematoda; Strigeidida; Schistosomatidae. The record is from Rfam.
AUCCGGCUGACAAGUCCUAAAUAGGAUGAAACGCACGUCCUGGAU